Molecule: small RNA, 88 nt
Filed under: unclassified sequences
Description: GA-cis RNA
Rfam family: GA-cis RNA
Source: Rfam by way of RNAcentral
UGAGGGAGGUGCGCUUAUGUCGAAGACAUAAUUCUACAUCGCACCGACCGACUGGCCGCCGAGCGAAGGCGAGGGGGCAUUACAUGUU